Molecule: long non-coding RNA, 1287 nt
Organism: Quercus robur (English oak)
Lineage: Eukaryota; Viridiplantae; Streptophyta; Magnoliopsida; Fagales; Fagaceae
Exons: 2
Source: RefSeq, a predicted model, not a curated record
CACUCUUCAUCUUCACUGAAACUCCGCUUCUAUUUUUCUCUGAAUCUAAGUCUAACAUGGAUUAUAGAAUUUAUUGAUAUUCAUACUCAAAUCAAAGACAAGCCCAAGAAAGUGUCGCUUUCUUGGUAGGGCUCCAGAAAUCUUUACAAGCGAUUCAAAAUCUACUUUGUAAAUAGUAUUGGUUGUGUUUAAACCAACUGCUUCUUGUUUUAUAUAUCAAGAACAUUUGAUACUAUUCUGUGGGAGUACCUUCCCUCAUUGCUUCUUUUAAAGGCAAAAUUCUGUUACCUUCAUCUCAUUUAAUGUACAAGUACUUGUUUUGUCAGUGUAGAUAUGUCUUACCUCAGUGUCUCACAAUCAGAGAUCCCUAGCCAAGGCAUGAUCAACUAUCAUGUAUUUCAUAGAAUAAGCCAAAGUUGUCUACCAGCUAGAGGCAGACCUUUUGCAAUUGCCAACACCACGAUUAUGACUAGCAGUGACAAUACCAACAAGUGCAUUGAAAUAUGUUGGUGCUGCCCAUCUCUCAAUACGUCCACCCUGAUGUCUCCACUCUUUGGGGAGAACUUUUCAAAUUGCCUGGAUUGCUUUAAGUUAUAGACAGCAGAAACAGCAACAACUAGAAUGACAGCAACAAUAAUUCCACCAUGAUAAUUGUAUGCUGUUUGAUUCCGAAGGCAGAGAGAUUAUAGCAGAGGCCAAAAGUACAAUAACAGUGGUUGCCUCAAGCGCUUUAAAGACAACUGAGAAGGCCUUUCGUUGGUUCUUUCUGGUUCCAAGAACCACAGCCAGUGCUUUUACUCCAUACUGACUCAAAGCCUCACUGAGCCACUUCAGAUCAACACUGAGAAGGGCAAUGGAUUUGUUAUGCAAGCAACCCUCAUCAACAGGCUGAACAUCAAUGGUCUUGGUCAAUUGGUGCUCUAUAUGUGAAAGAUCAGUUGUAAAUCAGUACACCAUCUUUGGUUCAAUGCUUAGUAGGUCAUGAUUUUUGGUCCUUUCUUCUGUUGCUUUUGGGUUACAUUGGUUGAUGCCAAGAAUUGAUAGAUGUUAUUGCUGCUGGAAAGGUACAUAUAACCAGAACAUAAGUAGCAUCUGGCAGUUCCUCACUGUCUUAUGCGGACAAUUUGGAGGGACUUGAAUAACUGAACAUUUGAAGUCAUGGAGAAACAAGUUAAAGCGACCAAAAUCUAGUUCCUGAAUCUGCAAAUUGAAUGUUGUACAAUGAAUUUUUUGGGGACCAUUUAAAUUUAUGAUUGUAAUUCUUUAAGAGGCUCUACAUUUUGAACA